Molecule: ribosomal RNA, 439 nt
Filed under: uncultured bacterium
Lineage: Bacteria
Description: partial 16S ribosomal RNA
Rfam family: Bacterial small subunit ribosomal RNA
Source: RNAcentral
CCUACGGGAGGCAGCAGUGGGGAAUAUUGCACAAUGGGGGAAACCCUGAUGCAGCGACGCCGCGUGAGUGAAGAAGUAUUUCGGUAUGUAAAGCUCUAUCAGCAGGGAAGAAAAUGACGGUACCUGAUUAAGAAGCCCCGGCUAACUACGUGCCAGCAGCCGCGGUAAUACGUAGGGGGCAAGCGUUAUCCGGAUUUAUUGGGUUUAAAGGGUGCGCAGGCGGAAUGUCAAGUCAGCGGUAAAAUUUCGGGGCUCAACCCCGUCGUGCCGUUGAAACUGGCGUUCUUGAGUGAGCGAGAAGUAUGCGGAAUGCGUGGUGUAGCGGUGAAAUGCUUAGAUAUCACGAAGAACUCCGAUUGCGAAGGCAGUUCACUGGACUGCAACUGACACUGAGGCUCGAAAGUGUGGGUAUCAAACAGGAUUAGAUACCCGUGUAGUC